GGAGGGAUGGCAGAGUGGUUGAAUGCACCGGUCUUGAAAACCGGCGAAGGUGCGAGCCUUCCCAGGGUUCGAAUCCCUGUCCCUCCGCCA
Molecule: transfer RNA, 90 nt
Filed under: Halomonas halmophila
Lineage: Bacteria; Pseudomonadati; Pseudomonadota; Gammaproteobacteria; Oceanospirillales; Halomonadaceae
Also listed under: 1 other name
Description: tRNA-Ser
Rfam family: tRNA
About the family: Transfer RNA (tRNA) molecules are approximately 80 nucleotides in length. Their secondary structure includes four short double-helical elements and three loops (D, anti-codon, and T loops).
Source: RNAcentral